UUUCAACAAAUUCAAAAAUGUAUUUUUGUGAAGAUCAUUUCGAUGUAAGUAUGUAAAAAAAUGUAAUUUAGCGAAUACAUUAUUAUAACAAAACUGAUGAAUUUUGCUUUAUUAUUGUAAAUAUUGUUUGAGGUUAGAUCUUUGUUAAAGUUUUGUUAUUUAGUUCCGUAUUCGAAUAACUUAUUGUACUUAUUUAAUAAUAAGCACUUUUUUUGUUUCUUUUUAGUUAACAAAUGAUAUGCUCAGUUAUACUGAGUAUCUAUCAUAUUAUGGGAAAAGUAUCACAAGUGCGCUUGAAACCAGGAUGUACUCCAAGUAAAUUUGAAUGUCAAGAAGACAGAAGAAAGCGGACAUGCAGCAGCGCAGAACGACCGUACAUGUUAAAAAAACAAAGAAUGGAGAUAAUAGCAACUAGUCUUAAAGAUAAUACAAAUACUAUCAAGUGUUUGGAAAAACCAGAAGAAAGUUGUUCGAAAAGUGUACAUCUCAAAGAUAUUCCCCAUACAAGCUCAGAUUUUCAAACAGACGAAUGAGUCAGAACCUUUAUGUGAACAGAAAGUAAAUAAAUCAGUUCAAGUAUUUCUAACACACAAGUUCAGAAGUAAAGCAAGUCAGACCAAAAUAAAAACUGUAAACCAGGCAUUGUCACCCUGGAAACCAUCAGUGACAUCGAGUUUCACGUUCCCAUUUAAAACUGAGAUUAUUAAAAAAUUAUGUCCUGUCUCCAACCUACGCAAAAUUACAAAAAAAUUAUUGAUUGAGGAAGAGCACUCAGAUAGUGAUGUUUCCCUUUAUAUACCAUGUGAAGCCACCUACAGUCGUUUACCAUCCAUACAUUCAUUGUAAGUUAAGUCAUCUUCUUCAGACAGUGAAUUGAUUGCUGAAGAAAGAAAACUAGAAGCUGAUUUGAUGUUAGUGAACACACUUGAAAAAAUUCAAAAGAAGCCUAGCUUGUAUCUUGGUAUUCCAAGUAAUUGUUAUUACUUGGUAUUCCAAGUAAUUGAUAUUUUAAAAGAUGAAUUAAAGAUUCCAAAACAUCA
This is a long non-coding RNA of Melitaea cinxia (Glanville fritillary), 1040 nucleotides long. RefSeq lists it as uncharacterized. Lineage: Eukaryota; Metazoa; Arthropoda; Insecta; Lepidoptera; Nymphalidae. The transcript is spliced from 2 exons. The record is from RefSeq and is a predicted model, not a curated record.